AGAGUUUGAUCCUGGCUCAGGACGAACGCUGGCGGCGCGCCUAACACAUGCAAGUCGAACGAGCGAGAGAGAGCUUGCUUUCUCGAGCGAGUGGCGAACGGGUGAGUAACGCGUGAGGAACCUGCCUCAAAGAGGGGGACAACAGUUGGAAACGACUGCUAAUACCGCAUAAGCCCACGGCUCGGCAUCGAGCAGAGGGAAAAGGAGCAAUCCGCUUUGAGAUGGCCUCGCGUCCGAUUAGCUAGUUGGUGAGGUAACGGCCCACCAAGGCGACGAUCGGUAGCCGGACUGAGAGGUUGAACGGCCACAUUGGGACUGAGACACGGCUCAGACUCCUACGGGAGGCAGCAGUGGGGAAUAUUGCACAAUGGGGGAAACCCUGAUGCAGCGACGCCGCGUGGAGGAAGAAGGUCUUCGGAUUGUAAACUCCUGUUGUUGGGGAAGAUAAUGACGGUACCCAACAAGGAAGUGACGGCUAACUACGUGCCAGCAGCCGCGGUAAAACGUAGGUCACAAGCGUUGUCCGGAAUUACUGGGCGUAAAGCGUGCGUAGGCUGUUUCGUAAGUCGUGUGUGAAAGGCGCGGGCUCAACCCGCGGACGGCACAUGAUACUGCGAGACUAGAGUAAUGGAGGGGGAACCGGAAUUCUCGGUGUAGCAGUGAAAUGCGUAGAUAUCGGGAGGAACACCAGUGGCGAAGGCGGCCUACUGGGCACCAACUGACGCUGAGGCUCGAAAGUGUGGGUAGCAAACCAGGAUUAGAUACCCUGGUAGUCCACACCGUAAACGAUGAUUACUAGGUGUUGGAGGAUUGACCCCUUUCAGUCCGCCAGUUACCCCAAUAAGUAAUCCACCCUGGGGAGUACGACCGCAAGGUUGAAACUCAAAGGAAUUGACGGGGGCCCGCACAAGCAGUGGAGUAUGUGUUUAAUUCGACGCAACGCGAAGAACCUUACCAAGUCUUGACAUCCCUUGACAGACAUAGAAAUAUGUUUUCUCUUCGGAGCAAGGAGACUGGUGGUGCAUGGUUGUCGUCAGCUCGUGUCGUGAGAUGUUGGGUUAAGUCCCGCAACGAGCGCAACCCUUGCUAUUAGUUGCUACACAAGAGCACUCUAAUAGGACUGCCGUUGACAAAACGGAGGAAGGUGGGGACGACGUCAAAUCAUCAUGCCCCUUAUGACCUGGGCUACACACGUACUACAAUGGACAUUAACAGAGGGAAGCAAUACAGCGAUGUGGAGCAAACCCCUAAAAAUGUUCUCAGUUCAGAUUGCAGGCUGCAACCCGCCUGUAUGAAGAUGGAAUUGCUAGUAAUCGCAGAUCAGCAUGCUGCGGUGAAUACGUUCCCGGGCCUUGUACACACCGCCCGUCA
Molecule: ribosomal RNA, 1371 nt
Filed under: uncultured bacterium
Lineage: Bacteria
Description: bacterial SSU rRNA
Rfam family: Bacterial small subunit ribosomal RNA
Source: RNAcentral